AAACCAGCACCUCAAGUGGUCAGGAGGAUUAUUGGGCCUAAAGCAUCCGUAGCCUGUUCUAUAAGUUUCCGGUUAAAUCCAUUAGCUCAACUAAUGGGCCGCCGAAAAUACUGUGGAACUAGGGAGUGGGAGAGGUAGACGGUACUCGGUAGGAAGGGGUAAAAUCCUUUGAUCUAUUGAUGACCACCUGUGGCGAAGGCGGUCUACCAGAACACGUUCGACGGUGAGGGAUGAAAGCUGGGGGAGCAAACCGGAUUAGAUACCCGUGUAGUCC
This 274-nucleotide ribosomal RNA is filed under the name uncultured bacterium. Its description in RNAcentral is "partial 16S ribosomal RNA". It matches the Rfam family "Archaeal small subunit ribosomal RNA", at positions 473 to 747 of the family's 1478-position model. The record is from RNAcentral.